AGCGAACGCUGGCGGCAGGCUUAACACAUGCAAGUCGAGCGGGCAUCCUUGUGGUUUCAGCGGCAGACGGGUGAGUAACGCGUGGGAACGUGCCCUUCGGUUCGGAAUAACUCAGGGAAACUUGAGCUAAUACCGGAUACGUGCGAGAGCAGAAAGUUUUAUCUGCCGAAGGAUCGGCCCGCGUCUGAUUAGCUAGUUGGUGAGGUUAUGGCUCACCAAGGCGACGAUCAGUAGCUGGUCUGAGAGGAUGAUCAGCCACACUGGGACUGAGACACGGCCCAGACUCCUACGGGAGGCAGCAGUGGGGAAUAUUGGACAGUGGGGGCAACCAUGAUCCAGCCAUGCCGCGUGAGUGAUGGCGGCCUUAGGGUUGUAAAGCUCUUUUAUCCGGGACGAUAAUGACGGUACCGGAGGAAUAAGCCCCGGCUAACUUCGUG
Molecule: ribosomal RNA, 437 nt
Filed under: uncultured bacterium
Lineage: Bacteria
Description: partial 16S ribosomal RNA
Rfam family: Bacterial small subunit ribosomal RNA
Source: RNAcentral